AAGUCGUAACAAGGUUUCCGUAGGUGAACCUGCGGAAGGAUCAUUAUCGGCGUUUGGGGCUCUCGCUUUGCGAUCCCCUCACCCCCAACCCUCUGUUUACCCUACUAUAUUCUUCGGCGAGUGUGUGCUGUUUGUUGGUAGGAGGUACCCCUUUAUGCGGUGCUAAAUCCAGCUAACGGCGCCCCGCCGGCGUUCAAAAACCUGCCUUUUUAUAACGGUGAAGUCUGAGCGUUUGUAAAACAAAAUUAGUAAAAACUUUCAACAACGGAUCUCUUGGUUCUG
This 282-nucleotide unclassified non-coding RNA is filed under the name fungal sp. Its description in RNAcentral is "partial internal transcribed spacer region". The stretch from base 1 to 46 matches the Rfam family "Eukaryotic small subunit ribosomal RNA", at positions 1786 to 1831 of the family's 1831-position model. The record is from RNAcentral. Lineage: Eukaryota; Fungi.